Non-coding RNA from Ceraceosorus guamensis, 88 nucleotides. The record is from the annotation of a RefSeq genome assembly. Lineage: Eukaryota; Fungi; Basidiomycota; Exobasidiomycetes; Ceraceosorales; Ceraceosoraceae.
GGGGUUUUGGCCUAGUGGUAUGGCGUCUCGUUUGCAAUUUGCAACCGUUGAGUCGAGAAGAUCGGGGGUUCGAUCCCCCCAGACUCCA